GGCUAAAUAGCUCAGUGGUAAGAGGAAUUGCUCGGCAAGCGAAAGUUUCAGGUUCGAUUCCCGAUUCAGUGA
RNAcentral lists this transfer RNA (72 nucleotides) under Camponotus floridanus (Florida carpenter ant). It matches the Rfam family "tRNA". From Rfam's summary of the family: Transfer RNA (tRNA) molecules are approximately 80 nucleotides in length. Lineage: Eukaryota; Metazoa; Arthropoda; Insecta; Hymenoptera; Formicidae. The record is from Rfam by way of RNAcentral.